RNAcentral lists this ribosomal RNA (208 nucleotides) under uncultured Peptostreptococcaceae bacterium. RNAcentral describes it as "partial 16S ribosomal RNA". It matches the Rfam family "Bacterial small subunit ribosomal RNA", at positions 568 to 774 of the family's 1533-position model. Lineage: Bacteria; Bacillati; Bacillota; Clostridia; Peptostreptococcales; Peptostreptococcaceae. The record is from RNAcentral.
UGCGUAGGCGGUCUUUUCAAGUCAGGAGUGAAAGGCUACGGCUCAACCGUAGUAAGCUCUUGAAACUGUAAGACUUGAGUGCAGGAGAGGAGAGUGGAAUUCCUAGUGUAGCGGUGAAAUGCGUAGAUAUUAGGAGGAACACCAGUUGCGAAGGCGGCUCUCUGGACUGUAACUGACGCUGAGGCACGAAAGCGUGGGGGAGCAAACA